RNAcentral lists this long non-coding RNA (1365 nucleotides) under Drosophila guanche. Lineage: Eukaryota; Metazoa; Arthropoda; Insecta; Diptera; Drosophilidae. The record is from RNAcentral.
GCAGAAAACAGUCAACAAAUAAACCAAAAAACAAAAGAAAAUCUUCAAAAAACUUCAGGGCACACCGCGACACCAAACGAAAUUCAUGGCCUAUUUUUCGAUUUGUUCCCAAAUCGAAUCAAAGUUUUACACAUCAAUUGUUCUAUGCCAAGGCAGCUCAGAGAUUGAUGCCGCCGCACCCAAUGAGUUUCUGUGCAAUUUCGGCCACCAAAUGUGGCAGCUCCAGCGAAACGAAAACUGUAACGAAGCGGCAAGGCCAGAAAAGGGAAGGGAAGCUGCGACACAAUGAAUGAACAAUAAGUAAAACGGGUAAGCGGAGAUGCCUGUGCCAUGGCCAGGAGCCAAAAAGGUAUGAAAGUGGAAAAUUGUGAAAUCUGUCAACGGAAAAUAUUUGAAUAUCGACGAGGAGAGAACCCAAACUGAAGACCUACCAACGGAAGACGUUCUGCCAUGCAUUGCCAGGAUGUUUGCUGUUCGCCGCAGACGCUGACGUGACUCUGUCAGUGGCUCCCCGUACAGCCCCGUGCCGUAGUCAUGUGAAUGAAUGUUGAAUGAGCAGCAAUUCAAGUGGGGAAAGAACACAUACACAGGGCUGGGAGCUGUCCUGUUGCUGUGUGUCUAUCUGUCGAUUUCCGGUUUCGAUUUCAUUUGUUGUAGCGCCGUAGCCAAAUGUUGUCUGUUGCCCAAACUUAGUUUCUGUUUUUUGUUGCCUCUUUUCCCAUUCUAUUUGCUGAGUUUUCCAGCGACUAGCAAUGCAUAUUCCCCUUUUGCCGUGUAUUUAUUUAUUUCGUAUUUGUUUGCUGAGCAAAAGCAAAUGCUGCUUCCCUUUCUAUCUUUGUGCAGUUGGAGCAAAGGAUUUGCUUUGCUUUUCUUGACGCUGCUGUCUGCUGUCUGCUGUCUUUGUUGCCUAAUUUUAAAUAUAUUUUAUGUGGCAUGUUUGCUUGCCUUUACAGAAAUCAAAGGGCAAAUAACUACUGAAAAUCUGCCCCCAAAAACACUCCACAAACUCUGAGUAAAACACAUGCCCUGAGCCUUCGUUCAGCAGGGCUAGGGCGCCGAUUAAAUCCACAACAAGCCUCCAAUGAGCCAUCAAGAAACCAUUUACAACAAAUUGACAGAGAUUUGGGCUAACAAUACAAAAGGGGCAAGGGCGAAACUAAACAUUUGCCAUGGCCAUUUAAACUAAUAACCGCUCAAAAAUUACCGACUACACUUGACCACGAAAUGCCCAAGAAAAUAUAAAGGAAGCGCCGGAGCUCGCAGUAAAAUGAAAAGAAAUAGAACAGAGGAAAACUCUCAACAAAUGCCAACAAUUUAUGGGCCACAAAACGGCCAAAUUUACGCUAGUCACGAUUUUGUAAUUUG